Molecule: small nuclear RNA, 105 nt
Organism: Peromyscus eremicus (cactus mouse)
Lineage: Eukaryota; Metazoa; Chordata; Mammalia; Rodentia; Cricetidae
Source: RefSeq, a predicted model, not a curated record
GUGCCUGUUUUGGCAGCAUAUAUACAAAAACUGAACUGAAACAGAAAAUUAACAUGGCCCCUGUGCAAGGAUGACAUACCCAUUCUUUUUUUUUUUUUUUUUUUU